UCCUACGGGAGGCAGCAGUAGGGAAUCUUCCGCAAUGGACGAAAGUCUGACGGAGCAACGCCGCGUGAACGAUGAAGGCUUUCGGGUCGUAAAGUUCUGUUGUCAGGGAAGAACAAGUACCGGAGUAACUGCCGGUACCUUGACGGUACCUGACCAGAAAGCCACGGCUAACUACGUGCCAGCAGCCGCGGUAAUACGUAGGUGGCAAGCGUUGUCCGGAAUUAUUGGGCGUAAAGCGCGCGCAGGCGGUUCCUUAAGUCUGAUGUGAAAGCCCCCGGCUCAACCGGGGAGGGUCAUUGGAAACUGGGGAACUUGAGUGCAGAAGAGGAGAGCGGAAUUCCACGUGUAGCGGUGAAAUGCGUAGAGAUGUGGAGGAACACCAGUGGCGAAGGCGGCUCUCUGGUCUGUAACUGACGCUGAGGCGCGAAAGCGUGGGGAGCGACAGAUUAGAUACCCUGGUAGUCCACGCGUAACGAUGAGUGCUAGUGUAGAGGUUUCCGCCCUUUAGUGCUGCAGCAAACGCAUAGCACUCCGCUGGGGGAGUACGUCGCAAGGCUGAAACUCAAGAUGAAACG
RNAcentral lists this ribosomal RNA (575 nucleotides) under uncultured bacterium. Its description in RNAcentral is "bacterial SSU rRNA". It matches the Rfam family "Bacterial small subunit ribosomal RNA", at positions 337 to 912 of the family's 1533-position model. The record is from RNAcentral.